UAGGGAAUCUUGCGCAAUGGGCGAAAGCCUGACGCAGCGACGCCGCGUGCGGGAAGAAGGCCUUCGGGUUGUAAACCGCUUUCAGGAGGGACGAAGCCACUCGGGUUAAUAGCCCAGAGGGUGACGGUACCUCCAGAAGAAGCCCCGGCUAACUACGUGCCAGCAGCCGCGGUAAUACGUAGGGGGCGAGCGUUGUCCGGAUUUAUUGGGCGUAAAGAGCGUGUAGGCGGCCAGGUAGGUCCGUUGUGAAAACUAGAGGCUCAACCUCGAGACGUCGAUGGAAACCAUCUGGCUAGAGUCCGGAAGAGGAGGGUGGAAUUCCUGGUGUAGCGGUGAAAUGCGCAGAUAUCAGGAAGAACACCUAUGGCGAAGGCAGCUCUCUGGGACGGUACUGACGCUGAGACGCGAAAGCGUGGGGAGCGAACAGG
RNAcentral lists this ribosomal RNA (428 nucleotides) under bacterium. RNAcentral describes it as "partial 16S ribosomal RNA". It matches the Rfam family "Bacterial small subunit ribosomal RNA", at positions 355 to 776 of the family's 1533-position model. The record is from RNAcentral.